CACGUCGAACAGAGCGUACACGUCCGCUCAAUUUGCCCUGAAGACGGUUGACGCAGAUCAACCGAAAUAUAUUGGACGAAAUCGAAAUAAAAGCUUUUUAUUUAUUUUGG
Molecule: non-coding RNA, 110 nt
Organism: Drosophila kikkawai
Lineage: Eukaryota; Metazoa; Arthropoda; Insecta; Diptera; Drosophilidae
Source: RefSeq, a predicted model, not a curated record